Molecule: long non-coding RNA, 837 nt
Organism: Pieris rapae (cabbage white)
Lineage: Eukaryota; Metazoa; Arthropoda; Insecta; Lepidoptera; Pieridae
Exons: 2
Source: RefSeq, a predicted model, not a curated record
UCCAUCCUUUGCCAUUAGGGAUAAAUUGAAAAAAAAAAGUGAUUUUUCCAUGUUCAAGAUGCAACUUUUGUUUGGAUGAAUAUGGAAUAAAUCAAAAUGAAAUCUUACAGAUUCAAGCUCUGUAAUUUUGUUCAAGAUUCCUUAUAUAUUGAAAAUGUGUAUGUGACUUCAGGUGAACUACUAUAGUAAUGUGUAUUUAGAAAGCUCGCGUGCAUCUCUAGAAAAUGAAUACAAGCACUUACAAAGCCUUAAAAUGUCCUAGUUACCAGCAUAUUACUGAACCUGGACAAACUAAAAAUAAUGUAUCAAUGUCACAUAUAAAAACAGAAAAAAAAGUAACCAUUGAUGCCUCCCAAUUAGAGAAAAGUGAAACAAAAAUUAACAAACAUGUCUUUGUUUUGAGUAACAAGCUCAUACUUUUAAUUGUGGUUGCAUUUGUAUUGUUUUUUAGUAUUUACACUAAACAUAAAAUUAAUGAAUAUAAUAAAAUAAAAGACCUUAAUAACAUGUUAAUGAAAAUGAAAUUAAUGUUUGCUUCUUUAUAUGAAAUGGAUGAAAAAGUGGCAAAGGGAAUAAGGCACGUAGAAAACUCUUAUAAUGUUUAUGAGAAUAGCUUUUCAUAUAAUGAAAUGACAGAAUCUCAAACUAAUAUUUAAAAAUGUUAGACAUAUGUUCUAUAUAGCAAAAUAAGUACAUAAUAUUUAUUUUACUGUGAGCUAAUCUAUUUAAUAAGGAAUAUUGUAACUUUACUAUUAAUUUUGCAUCAUUUUUGUUUUAUACUAGUAAACACCUAUUAAAUAAAAACAAGUUCUUGUAUUGACAAGACUGCUUAAAAUA